RNAcentral lists this ribosomal RNA (440 nucleotides) under uncultured bacterium. RNAcentral describes it as "partial 16S ribosomal RNA". It matches the Rfam family "Bacterial small subunit ribosomal RNA", at positions 338 to 795 of the family's 1533-position model. The record is from RNAcentral.
CCUACGGGUGGCAGCAGUGGGGAAUAUUGCACAAUGGGGGAAACCCUGAUGCAGCGACGCCGCGUGAAGGAAGAAGUAUUUCGGUAUGUAAACUUCUAUCAGCAGGGAAGAAAAUGACGGUACCUGACUAAGAAGCCCCGGCUAACUACGUGCCAGCAGCCGCGGGAAUACGUAGGGGGCAAGCGUUAUCCGGAUUUACUGGGGGGAAAGGGAGCGUAGGCGGUUUAGCAAGUCAGAAGUGAAAGCCCGGGGCUCAACUCCGGGACUGCUUUUGAAACUGUUGAACUAGAUUGCAGGAGAGGUAAGUGGAAUUCCUAGUGUAGCGGUGAACUGCGUAGAUAUUAGGAGGAACCCCAGUGGCGAAGGCGGCUUACUGGACUGUAAAUGACGCUGAGGCUCGAACGCGUGGGGAGCAAACAGGAUUAGAUACCCUUGUAGUC